AUCCAACUGACUAGUCCCAAAUAGGACGAAACGCGCGUCCUGGAU
This 45-nucleotide non-coding RNA is filed under the name Schistosoma bovis. The record is from RNAcentral. Lineage: Eukaryota; Metazoa; Platyhelminthes; Trematoda; Strigeidida; Schistosomatidae.